UGCGUAGGGUCCGAGCGUUGUCCGGAAUUAUUGGGCGUAAAGAGCUCGUAGGCGGUUUGUCGCGUCUGCUGUGAAAUCCCGAGGCUCAACCUCGGGUCUGCAGUGGGUACGGGCAGACUGGAGUGCGGUAGGGGAGAAUGGAAUUCCUGGUGUAGCGGUGGAAUGCGCAGAUAUCAGGAGGAACACCGAUGGCGAAGGCAGUUCUCUGGGCCGUAACUGACGCUGAGGAGCGAAAGCGUGGGGAGCAAACAGG
This 253-nucleotide ribosomal RNA is filed under the name uncultured bacterium. Its description in RNAcentral is "partial 16S ribosomal RNA". It matches the Rfam family "Bacterial small subunit ribosomal RNA", at positions 524 to 776 of the family's 1533-position model. The record is from RNAcentral.